This 255-nucleotide ribosomal RNA is filed under the name uncultured bacterium. Its description in RNAcentral is "partial 16S ribosomal RNA". It matches the Rfam family "Bacterial small subunit ribosomal RNA", at positions 524 to 777 of the family's 1533-position model. The record is from RNAcentral.
UACGUAGGGUGCGAGCGUUAAUCGGAAUCACUGGGCGUAAAGGGUGCGUAGGCGGGUCUUUAAGUCAGGGGUGAAAUCCUGGAGCUCAACUCCAGAACUGCCCUUUGAUACUGAGGAUCUUGAGUUCGGGAGAGGUGAGUGGAACUGCGAGUGUAGAGGUGAAAUUCGUAGAUAUUCGCAAGAACACCAGUGGCGAAGGCGGCUCACUGGCCCGAUACUGACGCUGAGGCACGAAAGCGUGGGGAGCAAACAGGG